RNAcentral lists this ribosomal RNA (305 nucleotides) under uncultured bacterium. RNAcentral's name for it is "bacterial SSU rRNA". It matches the Rfam family "Bacterial small subunit ribosomal RNA", at positions 338 to 659 of the family's 1533-position model. The record is from RNAcentral.
CCUACGGGGCGCAGCAGUGGGGAAUAUUGCACAAUGGGGGAAACCCUGAUGCAGCAACGCCGCGUGAGUGAUGACGGCCUUCGGGUUGUAAACUUCUGUUCUUAGUGAAGAAGAGUGACGGUAGCUAAGGAGCAAGCCACGGCUAACUACGUGCCAGCAGCCGCGGUAAUACGUAGGUGGCAAGCGUUGUCCGGAAUUACUGGGUGUAAAGGGAGCGCAGGCGGGAAGCCAAGUCAGCUGUGAAAACUACGGGCUUAACUUGUAGACUGCAGUUGAAACUGGUUUUCUUGAGUGAAGUAGAGGGU